GGUGGUGAGAGGUAGUGUGUUUUGAUUUAAGGGUAGUGAGAGGUAGUGUGUUUUGAUUUAAGGGUAGUGAGAGGUAGUGUGUUUUGAUUUAAGGGUAGUGAGAGGUAGUGUGUUUUGAUUUAAGGGUAGUGAGAGGUAGUGUGUUUUGAUUUAAGGGUAGUGAGAGGUAGUGUGUUUUGAUUUAAGGGUAGUGAGAGGUAGUGUGUUUUGAUUUAAGGGUAGUGAGAGGUAGUGUGUUUUGAUUUAAGGGUAGUGAGAGGUAGUGUGUUUUGAUUUAAGGGUAGUGAGAGGUAGUGUGUUUUGAUUUAAGGGUAGUGAGAGGUAGUGUGUUUUGAUUUAAGGGUAGUGAGAGGUAGUGUGUUUUGAUUUAAGGGUAGUGAGAGGUAGUGUGUUUUGAUUUAAGGGUAGUGAGAGGUAGUGUGUUUUGAUUUAAGGGUAGUGAGAGGUAGUGUGUUUUGAUUUAAGGGUAGUGAGAAGUAGUGUGUUUUGAUUUAAGGGUAGUGAGAAGUAGUGUGUAUCUAUGUGUUUUGAUUUAAGGGUAGUGAGAAGUAGUGCAUCUGUGUUUUGAUUUAAGGGUAGUGAGAUGUAGUGUGUAUCUAUGUGUUUUGAUUUAAGGGUAGUGAGAAGUAGUGCAUCUGUGUUUUGAUUUAAGGGUAGUGAGAGGUAGUGUGUUUUGAUUUAAGGGUAGUGAGA
Long non-coding RNA from Oncorhynchus keta (chum salmon), 693 nucleotides. RefSeq lists it as uncharacterized. The transcript has 3 exons. Lineage: Eukaryota; Metazoa; Chordata; Actinopteri; Salmoniformes; Salmonidae. The record is from RefSeq and is a predicted model, not a curated record.